This 3574-nucleotide small RNA is filed under the name Pan troglodytes (chimpanzee). RNAcentral's name for it is "retained intron". Lineage: Eukaryota; Metazoa; Chordata; Mammalia; Primates; Hominidae. The record is from RNAcentral.
UUGCUCUGUGUUUGUGUGUGCAUGUCCGCGUGUUGCUCUGUGUGUGUGCAUGUCCGUGUGUUGCUCUGUUUGUGUGUGCAUGUCUGCGUGUUGCUCUGUGUGUGUGUGCAUGUCCGCGUGUUGCUCUGUGUGUGUGCAUGUCCGCGUGUUGUUCUGUUUGUGUGUGCAUGUCUGCGUGUUGCUCUGUGUGUGUGCAUGUCUGCACAUUGCUCUGUGUGUGUGCAUGUCUGCAUGUUGCUCUGUGUGUGUGUGCAUGUCUGUGUGUUGCUCUGUGUUUGUGUGUGCAUGUCUGCGUGUUGCUCUGUGUGUGUGUGCAUGUCCACGUGUUGCUCUAUGUGUGUGCAUGUCCGCGUGUUGCUCUGUGUGUGUGCAUGUCCGCGUGUUGCUUGUUUGUGUGUGCGUGUCCGCGUGUCGCUUGUCUGUGUGUGAACAUCUGUGCUUGUCCUGUAUCUGUGUUUAUCUGUAUACUUCCAUGUCUGUGUGACAGAGUCCUUGUGUCUGUGUGUCUACAUGUCUGCGCGUGUCCCUGUGUCUUUGUGUAUAUAUAUCCAUGCCUGUGUGCCUGUGUUCCUGCGUGUGCUUGUGUGUGCACGUGUGCAUCUGUGUGUUUGUCAGAGUAUGUGUGCAUGUGUGUGUCUGUCAUCGUAUCCAUGUGUGCAUGUGUGUGUCUGUCAGCGUAUCCGUGUGUGCAUGUGUGUGUCUGUCAGCUUAACCAUGUGUGCAUGUGUUUGUCAGUGUAUCCGUGUGUGCAUCUGUGUAUCUGUCCGUGUAUCCGCGUGUGCCUGUGUGUACCUUUGUGUGAGCAUCAAGGGACCUCCCAGGCCUGGUGCUCACCGUCCGCCCCAACGCAUCCUGCAUUGCAGCGACUCCAGCUCGGACACAGACAGCUUCUACGGCGCAGUUGAGCGGCCUGUGGAUAUCAGCCUUUCCCCGUACCCCACGGACAAUGAAGACUAUGAGCACGACGAUGAGGAUGACUCCUACCUGGAGCCCGACUCCCCGGAGCCCGGAAGGCUUGAGGAUGCCCUGAUGCACCCACCGGCUUACCCACCACCCCCAGUGCCCACGCCCAGGAAGCCAGCCUUCUCUGACAUGCCCCGGGCCCACUCCUUUACCUCCAAGGGCCCCGGUCCCCUACUGCCACCCCCGCCCCCUAAGCACGGCCUCCCAGAUGUUGGCCUGGCUGCUGAGGACUCCAAGAGGGACACACUGUGCCCGAGGCGGGCUGAGCCUUGCCCCAGGGUACCUGCUACCCCCCGAAGGAUGAGCGAUCCCCCUCUGAGCACCAUGCCCACCGCACCCGGCCUCCGGAAACCCCCUUGCUUCCGGGAGAGUGCCAGCCCCAGCCCGGAGCCCUGGACCCCUGGCCACGGGGCCUGCUCCACUUCCAGUGCUGCCAUCAUGGCCACUGCCACCUCCAGAAACUGUGACAAACUCAAGUCCUUCCACCUGUCCCCCCGAGGACCACCCACAUCUGAGCCCCCACCUGUGCCAGCCAACAAGCCCAAGUUCCUGAAGACAGCUGAAGAGGACCCCCCAAGGGAGGCAGCCAUGCCUGGACUCUUUGUGCCCCCCGUGGCUCCCCGGCCUCCUGUGCUGAAGCUGCCCGUGCCUGAGGCCAUGGCGCGGCCCGCAGUCCUGCCCAGGCCAGAGAAGCUGCAGCUCCCGCACCUCCAGCGAUCACCCCCCGAUGGGCAGAGUUUCAGGAGCUUCUCCUUUGAAAAGCCCCGGCAACCCUCGCAGGCUGACGCUGGCGGGGACGACUCAGACGAGGACUAUGAGAAGGUGCCACUGCCCAACUCGGUCUUCGUCAACACCACGGAGUCCUGCGAAGUGGAAAGGUCAGCACAAAGCCCUGUGUGUGCUGGGUCCUCCGCCGUGCCCGGCUUCCUGCUUCUGUGUCCCUCUCACUAGCUUCCGUGUUGGGGAGUUGCUGGCACAAGUUCAUGGCCCUGCGUGCAGCAGAAACCAGAGGAGUGGACCUCCCUGCUCUGUCCCAUGCCCAGCUGGCACCCUGGCUGGCCAGGGCUCUGCUGGGCUGCUUCUGUCAGCCUCACGGCAGCCCGACGUGCUCAGUGCUUGAGACCUACAACAGCGAGAGGACAGAAAGCCAGGCUUGGGAGCGGGGCGGGAAGGUCCGUGUGAAAGCUGCCCGAGGAGGACUCACCCGCUAAUAUGACUGUCUUAUUUUAGGUUGUUCAAGGCCACAAGCCCCCGGGGAGAGCCCCAGGAUGGACUCUACUGCAUUCGGAACUCCUCUACCAAGUCGGGGAAGGUCCUGGUUGUGUGGGACGAAACCUCUAACAAAGUGAGGAACUAUCGCAUUUUUGAGAAGGUGAGAGGGCUCUGAGUGGGACGGGGACCCUGGCCGCAUGGCCUGGCAAGGGGCAGGGCAGAAUCUCCCUGAUGAGGCAUAGGCAGCGGGUAGACUGAGACUGGCACCUCCAGGACACCGCCCUCCCCUUCCCCUCCACCAUCGCUCACCCCCCACCCCUCCUGCUCAGCCUCCCUCCUCUCCUGGCCUACCUUUGUCCUCCACUGACCCUAGUGGGGAUGGGCGGUCAGCCAUAGACCCUGGGUUGCUUGUCUUGUCUUUUUCUUUUUGCGGGGACAGGGGUCUCACUGUCUUUCUCAGGCUGGUUUCAAAUUCUGGGGCUCAAGCAAUCCUCCCACCUCGGCCUCCCACAGUGCUGGGAUUACAGGCGUGGGCCACCGUGCCUGGCCUAGGUUCAUUUCCUGACCUUGUCUGAAGUGCUCUGGGUGCAGGCUCCUGGACAUGGAGGACGGAGGGGAAGUGAGGUGGGAACAUGGAGAGCACAGGCCUGAUGCGGAGGCCACCUUGGGGGCACCACCGACAGCCAGGGGCCAGCCUGGCGAUGCCGCUGUUGCUGCUGCUGCCUUGUUUUACAGACGGGGAGACUGAGGCCUAGAGCUGCAGAGUGGCCUGGCCCUGCUGAUGCUCCCCCUCUCUUCCCCCACAGGACUCUAAGUUCUACCUGGAGGGCGAGGUCCUGUUUGUGAGUGUGGGCAGCAUGGUGGAGCACUACCACACCCACGUGCUGCCCAGCCACCAGAGCCUGCUGCUGCGGCACCCCUACGGCUACACUGGGCCUAGGUGAUGCCAGUCCAUGUGGCUGCCAGGCCAAGGCAGUCACAGGGGCCCUGACCCCAGGCCACACAGACGGACACGGGCCCACAUGGGAGGGUGAGCAGGAGCAAGGCCGUGCUUGCCUAGGGCCUCUGUGAUGGACAUCUCGUAGGACCCAGCCAGUCUCAUCCAGCAGGCUGGGUUCUAGGGCUGAACCAGGCGCCAGGCUCCAGAGGACGAAGGGACUCUGUUGCCCCACACUAACUUGCCCUGUCCCAAUCCCAGAAACCCAGGACCAAGCUGUGCCUGGGCUCCAAGGACAGGAACACUGGUCCCCCCAUCACACUCACCCCUAAGUGGGCUGGGAGCCAGGCAGGGCCAGGGCAGCUGGGUGGGGGCCGGGGCUGGCCCUGGGACCCCCAGGAACGCUAAGACACAGGUUCCAGUAGGGGCUGUUGCCUCCAAUAAAGCAGCAGUGAGCUUUGC